CAGGCCUAACACAUGCAAGUCGAACGGUAACAGGAAGAGCUUGCUUCUUUGCUGACGAGUGGCGGACGGGUGAGUAAUGUCUGGGAAACUGCCUGAUGGAGGGGGAUAACUACUGGAAACGGUAGCUAAUACCGCAUAACGUCGCAAGACCAAAGAGGGGGACCUUCGGGCCUCUUGCCAUCGGAUGUGCCCAGAUGGGAUUAGCUGUAGGUGGGGUAACGGCUCACCUAGGCGACGAUCCCUAGCUGGUCUGAGAGGAUGACCAGCCACACUGGAACUGAGACACGGUCCAGACUCCUACGGGAGGCAGCAGUGGGGAAUAUUGCACAAUGGGCGCAAGCCUGAUGCAGCCAUGCCGCGUGUAUGAAGAAGGCCUUCGGGUUGUAAAGUACUUUCAGCGGGGAGGAAGGGAGUAAAGUUAAUACCUUUGCUCAUUGACGUUACCCGCAGAAGAAGCACCGGCUAACUCCGUGCCAGCAGCCGCGGUAAUACGGAGGGUGCAAGCGUUAAUCGGAAUUACUGGGCGUAAAGCGCACGCAGGCGGUUUGUUAAGUCAGAUGUGAAAUCCCCGGGCUCAACCUGGGAACUGCAUCUGAUACUGGCAAGCUUGAGUCUCGUAGAGGGGGGUAGAAUUCCAGGUGUAGCGGUGAAAUGCGUAGAGAUCUGGAGGAAUACCGGUGGCGAAGGCGGCCCCCUGACGAAGAC
RNAcentral lists this ribosomal RNA (705 nucleotides) under Escherichia sp. Its description in RNAcentral is "bacterial SSU rRNA". It matches the Rfam family "Bacterial small subunit ribosomal RNA", at positions 43 to 740 of the family's 1533-position model. Lineage: Bacteria; Pseudomonadati; Pseudomonadota; Gammaproteobacteria; Enterobacterales; Enterobacteriaceae. The record is from RNAcentral.